UUAUCCAAGGAGGUUGAACACCACAGGAUGGAACCAUUACCCCUCCCUGGAAGGAAGCUGGAUGGUUUGGAUGUUGGCAUGUGUGCACAGUCCAUGUUUAGGUACAAUGUACUCUCUAAAGGGCUGUUCUCAUUCCCUCUCCACACAGAAACUCGGCGAAGGACUCGCGAAGCUGCGGACGGCGCGAGAGGCCCCCCAGGACUGCGUGUGCCCCCCAGGCAUUCUCUAUUGCUGAGGGUUGGAGGUGAAUGGUGGAGAGCAGAGGGGCUCUGAAAAAUGCAGAUAUCCCAACUGCCUAGAAGUACUUUGGACCUUUUCUGAUCUAAAACGUAUGAUUGUAUUUUAACAGAACUGGCAUAAAGGAUGUUUAAAAUGCAUAUGGCUCUCUCUGCUCUAUUUAACUUGGUAAAAUGUAAAAUCUGCCUUCUCCC
Molecule: long non-coding RNA, 431 nt
Filed under: Taeniopygia guttata (zebra finch)
Lineage: Eukaryota; Metazoa; Chordata; Aves; Passeriformes; Estrildidae
Description: lncRNA (ENSTGUG00000022097.1)
Source: RNAcentral